Molecule: ribosomal RNA, 691 nt
Filed under: Haloferax larsenii
Lineage: Archaea; Methanobacteriati; Methanobacteriota; Halobacteria; Halobacteriales; Haloferacaceae
Description: bacterial SSU rRNA
Rfam family: Archaeal small subunit ribosomal RNA
Source: RNAcentral
UCUCCCAAACGCUCAGGCGUCGUAGGAUGUGGCUGCGGCCGAUUAGGUAGACGGUGGGGUAACGGCCCACCGUGCCGAUAAUCGGUACGGGUUGUGAGAGCAAGAGCCCGGAGACGGAAUCUGAGACAAGAUUCCGGGCCCUACGGGGCGCAGCAGGCGCGAAACCUUUACACUGCACGCAAGUGCGAUAAGGGGACCCCAAGUGCGAGGGCAUAUAGUCCUCGCUUUUUCCGACCGUAAGGUGGUCGGCGAAUAAGGGCUGGGCAAGACCGGUGCCAGCCGCCGCGGUAAUACCGGCAGCCCAAGUGAUGACCGAUAUUAUUGGGCCUAAAGCGUCCGUAGCCGGCCACGAAGGUUCAUCGGGAAAUCCGCCAGCUUAACUGGCGGGCGUCCGGUGAAAACCACGUGGCUUGGGACCGGAAGGCUCGAGGGGUACGUCCGGGGUAGGAGUGAAAUCCCGUAAUCCUGGACGGACCACCGAUGGCGAAAGCACCUCGAGAAGACGGAUCCGACGGUGAGGGACGAAAGCUAGGGUCUCGAACCGGAUUAGAUACCCGGGUAGUCCUAGCUGUAAACGAUGCUCGCUAGGUGUGGCACAGGCUACGAGCCUGUGCUGUGCCGUAGGGAAGCCGAGAAGCGAGCCGCCUGGGAAGUACGUCCGCAAGGAUGAAACUUAAAGGAAUUGGCGGGG